AAAUGUCCAUAGUUUCUGAUUCUUUUUGGCAAGUUUAAGUACAUCCUGAAUGUUCGAUAAAGGCUAGUGUCAUCAACAUCUCUAAUACAUAUGACAGCCAAGGAGCAUCCAUUGAAAAAUGAGGCAAUAAAAUUGAGUACUUAUAAACUGUUCAUACUUCUUUUCUACCUUUGACGUUGUAAAUGUUAAAUUUAUGAACUUAAGAAUGUCAUUGCUACAAAAAAAAACAAUGUGAUUGCUAUGCAAUAUACAUGUAAUUUGAAUAUAAAUCUUGGUCCGGUUACGCUAAACCAAAAUCUGAUAUUAUCUGGGCUACGUGUGGAUUAAAAAUCCGAUUAGGGGGAGUCGUGCAAAGCCCACUAAAAGAAACAGGCGGUUUGUUUUAUUUUAAAUAACUUUUAACUCGUUCCAAAGUCCCACAUCGCUAACAAUUUAAGAGGUGAAGACAAGACGAGUAGUAUAAAUAACGAGGCCACGGCCACGAACAAUUCAUACCUUUCUCGGCCUUUUGGCUAAGAUCAAGUGUAGUAUCUGUUCUUAUCAGUUUAAUAUCUGAUAUGUGGGCCAUCGGCCCACACGAUAUUAACUCUAUUUUUUAAGGGAGAAAACCCACUAAGGUAGCUUGCUAUCUGGGUUUUCACGAGUCGCCCAUGCGUUGCACUACUGCACGGGCCUGGCUCAUCCCGCCAAUAAACCAGUAAAAUUAUAAAUAUUGGAAAUCUGCCACUAUGUUGUAGAUUUGGGCUUAGGGACCUAAAUAAAUAACGUUAUGUAACUGGUGGAUGACCGUUGAAACCCUCAUACGCGAUGCACAUGGUUAGGAUAGAAUUC
Molecule: small nuclear RNA, 831 nt
Organism: Arabidopsis thaliana (thale cress)
Lineage: Eukaryota; Viridiplantae; Streptophyta; Magnoliopsida; Brassicales; Brassicaceae
Gene: U2.7
Product: U2.7; snRNA
Exons: 1
Source: RefSeq